GAGUGGGCAGGCCUGGUGUGAUGACGCUGUCGGCACUCUGCUCUAAUUUAUUCAGAACGUGUGCUCGGAAUCAGCAGGAUGUGGCUCCAGGCUCAGCACCGAGAGUCGGUUUUACGGCUCCUCUGUGGACUCGCACGGGCCGGCCACUUGGUAUAGCGUUUGGGGCCUGUGGUCCCUGGGAUGACGGACCGCACCCUGGCCUGAGGGCCCCUGUGUCCUCUCCGGCCCUGCAGUCUGGUGGGUGGCAUGCCCUUGACUCCAAGGGACUCGCCAUCCGGGUUACAUCAUCGUCCUGACCCAGGAAAGCGGUGGGAAGCAGAGAGGGGUGGGGCUUACUCACGGAUAACCCCAAACCGAGUCCACGUCCAGUUCUUCAUUCUUUCCCUCUCUGCGGCUCCAGGGCCCCCUCCCUCGAGGACCGUGGCAGGUGCGGAGGGUGCAUUAGGCUCUUGCCUGGGCAGGGACCAGGUGCUGUGGGGAGGAUGCGGGUCGCUGGCAGGUGCGCCGUGCCAGGCAGGUGGGCAGACCACCCCUUGUCCUAGAGGAGAGGCCCUGAGAGCGGCUGGGAAGCGGUUUACUUUCGUGGGAGCCCACGGGGGCCUCCUUGACAUGUGAUAAGGUGCCCGUCUUGGAAGUGUACACUUGAGUGGUUUUCACAAAUGCGCCUGGGAAGCCAUCACCACAACCAAGACAGUCGACGUAUCUGUCACACCUGGACGUUUCCUGGGGCCCCCUGGCAAUCCAGCCUCCCAGCCAGCCCCACUCUGUGUCCCCAGGCAAGAUCCCAUCUCCCCGUCACUACAGAUCAGCCUGCCUUUUCUAAGAUUGUAUCUACAUAGAAGCACAUACUCUGUACGCUCUGUCGUUGAGCCUCUCCCGCCGCGGCCCAGCUUGGAGGUGCGCCCACGCCACAGCGCAGCCUCCAGCUACUUCCGCUGCGCUGCCACGUGACGCACCAUGGACGGACCACAGCUGUUCAUCAUUCGCUUGCUGCGGACAUUCAGGUCGCUUCCGGUCUGGGGCCAGGGCAGGCCGUACUGUGGAAUGUUCGUGCACGAGUCUCCAUGUGCAUGUGUGUUUUCACUUCUCCCAGGAGCACGUGCAGGAGCGGAGGCACCGGAUCCCAUGGGAGGCGCGUGUCCAGUUGUUCACGGAGUUGCAAAGCUGUUUCCUGCCGUGGCUGCGCCGUUCCCUCCAGCAGCGCCAGACAGCCCCGGAUGCUCCUCGCCCUCCUCAACACUGGAAACGAUGUUUGGUAGACCUCACCGGCAAAGGCACUGGGGCUGGAAACCGUUUGUGGACUGUCCGUUCUGCUCCGUUGGUUUAUAUGUCUACUGUCACAUCAGUACCAGAUUAUCUUGAUAAAGUUUUUUUUAUAAUAAAAAUAAAGCCUUAA
Lemur catta (Ring-tailed lemur) is the source of this 1396-nucleotide long non-coding RNA. RefSeq lists it as uncharacterized. The transcript is spliced from 2 exons. NCBI's taxonomy places the organism in Eukaryota, Metazoa, Chordata, Mammalia, Primates, Lemuridae. The record is from RefSeq and is a predicted model, not a curated record.